This 548-nucleotide ribosomal RNA is filed under the name uncultured bacterium. RNAcentral's name for it is "partial 16S ribosomal RNA". It matches the Rfam family "Bacterial small subunit ribosomal RNA", at positions 355 to 895 of the family's 1533-position model. The record is from RNAcentral.
UAGGGAAUCUUCCACAAUGGACGCAAGUCUGAUGGAGCAACGCCGCGUGAGUGAAGAAGGUUUUCGGACCGUAAAGCUCUGUUGUUGGUGAAGAAGGAUAGAGGUAGUAACUGGCCUUUAUUUGACGGUAAUCAACCAGAAAGUCACGGCUAACUACGUGCCAGCAGCCGCGGUAAUACGUAGGUGGCAAGCGUUGUCCGGAUUUAUUGGGCGUAAAGCGAGCGCAGGCGGAAGAAUAAGUCUGAUGUGAAAGCCCUCGGCUUAACCGAGGAAUUGCAUCGGAAACUGUUUUCUGAGUGCAGAAGAGGAGAGUAGAACUCCAUGUGUAGCGGUGGAAUGCGUAGAUAUAUGGAAGAAUACCAGUGGCGAAGGCGGCUCUCUGGUCUGCAACUGACGCUGAGGCUCGAAAGCAUGGGUAGCGAACAGGAUUAGAUACCCUGGUAGUCCAUGCCGUAAACGAUGAGUGCUAAGUGUUGGGAGGCUUCCGCCUCUCAGUGCUGCAGCUAACGCAUUAAGCACCCCGCCUGGGGGAGUACGACCGCAAGGUU